CUUUAGUGUCUCAAAUUUUAUAGGCAUUUAUUUUUCAUUUUCAUUUCUAUUAUAUUUAUAGAGAGCUGUGUGAACAGACAGCAUUCACACCACUUUCAGAGAAAGUGUUGUCUGUAAGUUGUAUUCCCUUAGCACGUUGAAUUUUAAGACAAAUCUAGACUUCUUGCACAGUCUUAUUGUUCAGAGUCAACCACAGCAGACAUGAUAUUUAAGGAGCAGAUAGAAGGGGGAAGACAGGGUUGCUGUGAAAAUCCUUCUCUCUUACCACUUGCCAGAGGUUAAGUAAAGCCCUAAGGGAGCUGGACAGGAGUAUGAUCAAAUGGAUAGUCUGUCACUUGCUCGCUUUACUCAAAGUCAACCAGGAGUUACCUCUUAGUGGAAAGUUAUUUCACUUGACUACCAGAAACAGAAGGAGGAGGGGCUGUGGUUUCUUUCCAUACCUGCAGGAGGUCAGUGGCCACUGCAGGAACAGGAAGGGAAAUGUGCAGAUUUCAAGAGAGAUUUAUUCUUUUUCGUGCAAUAAGAUAUGCAAGAAAUACACCUAAACUCAUUUAAUGAAGAAGAUGAACAAAAGUGGAAAACAAAUGAUUACUCAUGAGCCAGACCAGCUUAGUGUGCACACUUGUCUGAAAGACUGAUGAGAUAAUACCUGCAAAAGAAUGGUCUGCUCUGACAGGAAAAGGAGAACCAAUGUAUCCAGAACACCCAAUAGCUCAUCUGGCAGUAAACGAGGGGUCAAAAUGUCAAUCUUCCAGUCCUGCCCCUUGUGGUGUUAGAAAUCUAUUAAAGUCCUAACAUCUAUUCAAUAGCAUUAUAGGCAUUUAAAAUUAAAAAAAAAAUAAAAAUUAAAAAUUAAAAAAUAGAAAAUUAAAA
RNAcentral lists this long non-coding RNA (873 nucleotides) under Anser brachyrhynchus (Pink-footed goose). Its description in RNAcentral is "lncRNA (ENSABRG00000008350.1)". Lineage: Eukaryota; Metazoa; Chordata; Aves; Anseriformes; Anatidae. The record is from RNAcentral.